GCUAACGUGGCUCAGUUGGUAGAGCAAUUGAUUCGUAAUCAAUAGGUCGUCGGUUCGAGUCCGAUCGUUAGCU
Transfer RNA from Clostridium sp. SY8519, 73 nucleotides. It matches the Rfam family "tRNA". From Rfam's summary of the family: Transfer RNA (tRNA) molecules are approximately 80 nucleotides in length. Their secondary structure includes four short double-helical elements and three loops (D, anti-codon, and T loops). Further hydrogen bonds mediate the characteristic L-shaped molecular structure. tRNAs have two regions of fundamental functional importance: the anti-codon, which is responsible for specific mRNA codon recognition, and the 3' end, to which the tRNAs corresponding amino acid is attached (by aminoacyl-tRNA synthetases). tRNAs cope with the degeneracy of the genetic code in two manners: having more than one tRNA (with a specific anti-codon) for a particular amino acid; and 'wobble' base-pairing, i.e. permitting non-standard base-pairing at the 3rd anti-codon position. NCBI's taxonomy places the organism in Bacteria, Bacillati, Bacillota, Clostridia, Eubacteriales, Clostridiaceae. The record is from Rfam.